AAAAAAAAAAAACCUGUCUCGAGGAGGCGGCGUUUAGAAACAUCAUCUCCACUAGUCCUUCUGUUCGCUCUGAGCAGCUCCAGACGGAAAUCUUCUCGCCUCCUGAAGGGUUUUUGUGACAUAAACAAAUACUUUGUAACCAAAAUAAUGACGCAGUAGCACACAGGACACAGUUUGUCCCAAGUCUGAGAAUGGCAGAAAGAAAGAGAAAACCAGCUCCUUCAAUGAAACCACUCAGCAAAAAAGAGCAAGAAGAGCUGAAGAAAAAGGAAGUAGAGAAAGCAGCAGAGGUUUUUGAAGAAUUUGUGGCAUCAUUUGGGGCCAAUGACGAAAGAAAAAACAAGACUUUUGUGCGAGGGGGAAUCGUGAAUGCAA
Long non-coding RNA from Nematolebias whitei (Rio pearlfish), 375 nucleotides. RefSeq lists it as uncharacterized. The transcript is spliced from 3 exons. Lineage: Eukaryota; Metazoa; Chordata; Actinopteri; Cyprinodontiformes; Rivulidae. The record is from RefSeq and is a predicted model, not a curated record.